This 235-nucleotide long non-coding RNA is filed under the name Lathyrus oleraceus (garden pea). RNAcentral's name for it is "Pisum sativum (pea) long non-coding RNA (PSAT_LNC023509)". The record is from RNAcentral. Lineage: Eukaryota; Viridiplantae; Streptophyta; Magnoliopsida; Fabales; Fabaceae.
AAAAAGAUGCUUUUGUUUUUACUUUUCUGUUUUGGUUGCGUAAAUGUCCAUUGAUUUAAUUUGAAUUAAUAUGUGCAUUUGAAUAUGAUAAAUGUUUACCAAAAUAUAUGCGUAGAAUAGCAAUAGCAAUUACUACCCGACUUCAGGAUCGAGGAGAAGGUCUAACCAUGCUUCCAAUGAAUCCGCUACCAAUUCUAUUCCCCCAGCAAGUCUGUUAUUCCUCAGAAGAAAUUAG